AACACAACUGAAUAGGCUCCUCAAGGGUGAUCGGCUCAUCCCCUCACGAAAGGGGGUGAGAGAAUGUCGACACAUGAAAUGAUUUCACUCAUGCUCCAGUUUGGGCUGUUCCUCGUAGCAGCUUUGACUCUGGUGGUGACAAUCAUUAAGCAUAUGUUGGACAAUCAAAAUAAAAAGAAAUAGAUCGCCCUUCGAGUUGGUAGCUCCGGCGAUCUAUUUUGCAAACCUAUGAGCCGACACCCUUGCAAGGUAUCAGUUGUGUCAACCGACCGUAGGUGUUCAAGCACCUAUG
RNAcentral lists this small RNA (292 nucleotides) under Tumebacillus sp. BK434. RNAcentral describes it as "BsrG". It matches the Rfam family "BsrG". Rfam says of the family: bsrE, bsrG and bsrH pair through intermolecular interactions with antisense sRNAs. SR4 interaction with the 3'UTR of bsrG RNA promotes bsrG degradation and inhibits its translation. Lineage: Bacteria; Bacillati; Bacillota; Bacilli; Caryophanales; Alicyclobacillaceae. The record is from RNAcentral.